AGUUAACUGCGAGGGAACAUUGCCCUUCUCUACGGAAUAGCCCCGGGAAACUGGGAGUAAUACCGUAUACGCCCUUUGGGGGAAAGAUUUAUCGGAGAAGGAUCGGCCCGCGUUGGAUUAGGUAGUUGGUGGGGUAAUGGCCCACCAAGCCGACGAUCCAUAGCUGGUUUGAGAGGAUGAUCAGCCACACUGGGACUGAGACACGGCCCAGACUCCUACGGGAGGCAGCAGUGGGGAAUCUUAUACAAUGGGGGCAACCCUGAUCUAGCCAUGCCGCGUGAGUGAUGAAGGCCUUAGGGUUGUAAAGCUCUUUCAGCUGGGAAGAUAAUGACGGUACCAGCAGAAGAAGCCCCGGCUAACUCCGUGCCAGCAGCCGCGGUAAUACGGAGGGGGCUAGCGUUGUUCGGAAUUACUGGGCGUAAAGCGCACGUAGGCGGACUGGAAAGUCAGAGGUGAAAUCCCAGGGCUCAACCUUGGAACUGCCUUUGAAACUAUCAGUCUGGAGUUCGAGAGAGGUGAGUGGAAUUCCGAGUGUAGAGGUGAAAUUCGUAGAUAUUCGGAGGAACACCAGUGGCGAAGGCGGCUCACUGGCUCGAUACUGACGCUGAG
This 609-nucleotide ribosomal RNA is filed under the name Paracoccus marcusii. RNAcentral's name for it is "bacterial SSU rRNA". It matches the Rfam family "Bacterial small subunit ribosomal RNA", at positions 109 to 750 of the family's 1533-position model. The record is from RNAcentral. Lineage: Bacteria; Pseudomonadati; Pseudomonadota; Alphaproteobacteria; Rhodobacterales; Paracoccaceae.